CUUCAACGAGCCCAGCCACAACGGCCGUUCCGGAUCCCGGCCCCGUCCGUACGUGGCGAGGAGCGCCUGCGCCUC
Non-coding RNA from Streptomyces griseoruber, 75 nucleotides. The record is from Rfam. NCBI's taxonomy places the organism in Bacteria, Bacillati, Actinomycetota, Actinomycetes, Kitasatosporales, Streptomycetaceae.